AUUGAACGCUGGCGGCAGGCCUAACACAUGCAAGUCGAGCGGAGCGGCGCACGGGUGAGUCAUGCCUAGACAUAUGCCUGGUCAUGGGGGAUAAAGUACGGAAACGGGCGCUAAUACCGCAUACUAUCAGAUGGGCCUCGAGCGGAUGCGCUAGUUGGUGGGGUACAGGCCUACCCAGGAGACGAUCCGUAACUGGUCUGAGAGGAUGAUCAGUCACACUGGAACUGAGACACGGUCCAGACUCCUAAGGGAGGCAGCAGGGGGGAAGAUUGGACAAUGGGCGAAAGCCUGAUCCAGCCAUGCCGCGUGUGUGAAGAAGGUCGUCGGAGUGUAAAGCACUUUAAGUUGGGAGGCGUUACCAACAGAAUAAGCACCGGCUAACUUCGUGCCAGCAGCCGCGGUAAUAC
RNAcentral lists this ribosomal RNA (407 nucleotides) under uncultured bacterium. Its description in RNAcentral is "partial 16S ribosomal RNA". It matches the Rfam family "Bacterial small subunit ribosomal RNA", at positions 30 to 526 of the family's 1533-position model. The record is from RNAcentral.